CCACCGUGGCUUUGAAAACGCUUUCCUUGAUAAAAUUUAAGCGUUUUAUAAGAGGAUGCCGGGGAAGGUUUUCCGGUUUAUCCCGGAGGGCUUGUAGCUCAGUUGGUUAGAGCGCGCGCUUGAUAAGCGUGAGGUCGGAGGUUCAAGUCCUCCCAGGCCCACCAGUUUAUCCAUUACUUUCAUAAGUGCUUUUAAAAAAUAAGUACUUCUAAAAAGAUUGCUUCUAAAAAGAUUGCUUCUAAAAAGAUUGCUUCUAAAAAGCUUAUCAAAAUUGGCAGGCUUAUUGCUUUUGUGUGAGUAAUCCAAAGUUAAAGCAAAUUAAUGGCAAAAAAACAGUUCAAAUGCUAAAUACUAAGGAGUCAAAAUUCCUUGCAAAGUGAUUUUUACAGCGUCCAUUUGGUUGAUAUAAAUUCCAAAUGCUCAUAGACGUCAAUGCCUAUAUGAAACUAUCGGUUCAAUCAUAUCGCUUUGAGUUAUAUAGAUUUUGUAAUCCCUCUUUUGAUCGUUUUAAACGCUUUAUCCUGAUUUAGGGGCCGUAGCUCAGCUGGGAGAGCACCUGCUUUGCAAGCAGGGGGUCGUCGGUUC
RNAcentral lists this unclassified non-coding RNA (585 nucleotides) under Bartonella henselae. RNAcentral's name for it is "partial 16S-23S ribosomal RNA intergenic spacer". The stretch from base 88 to 161 matches the Rfam family "tRNA". The record is from RNAcentral. Lineage: Bacteria; Pseudomonadati; Pseudomonadota; Alphaproteobacteria; Hyphomicrobiales; Bartonellaceae.